RNAcentral lists this ribosomal RNA (488 nucleotides) under uncultured bacterium. RNAcentral's name for it is "partial 16S ribosomal RNA". It matches the Rfam family "Bacterial small subunit ribosomal RNA", at positions 28 to 507 of the family's 1533-position model. The record is from RNAcentral.
GACGAACGCUGGCGGCGUGCUUAACACAUGCAAGUCGAACGGAAAGGCCCUGCUUUUGUGGGGUGCUCGAGUGGCGAACGGGUGAGUAACACGUGAGUAACCUGCCCUUGACUUUGGGAUAACUUCAGGAAACUGGGGCUAAUACCGGAUAGGAGCUCCUGCUGCAUGGUGGGGGUUGGAAAGUUUCGGCGGUUGGGGAUGGACUCGCGGCUUAUCAGCUUGUUGGUGGGGUAGUGGCUUACCAAGGCUUUGACGGGUAGCCGGGCUGAGAGGGUGACCGGCCACACGGGGAGUGAGACACGGCCCAGACGCGUACGGGGGGCAGCGGUGGGGAAUUUUGGACAAUGGGCGAAAGCCUGAUCGAGCAAUGCCGCGUGUGUGAAGAAGGCCUUCGGGUGGUAAAGCACGUUUGUCCGGAAAGAAAUCCUUGGCCCUAAUACGGGCGGGGGAUGACGGUACCGGAAGAAUAAGCACCGGCUAACUACGUG